AGGCUGUAAGACCUGAGCCGGGCGGAGAAGCAAAGGAGAGGGAAGCUGGAAGCACCUUUGGCCCGGGACAGAAAUCUGGAGAGCUUGGCUACCUCCAUCCUCCUCAGGCCGGAGCAGGCUUCCUGAGAGAGUCCAGGUCGUAGGAGUUUUACGACUUAGAAAAGCGGGCUGCAGAUUCCUUCCUGGGUGUUUGGUUCAAGCCUUGGCUCCAGCCUCACUCUCAGUCUUCCCGGGAGUUCGUGGGAUUUGGACCUUAGAUUAUUAGUAUUAUUUUGAGGGCCUCCUGUGUGUAAGCACUGGUUGUGCGCAGAUGGCUGUGCAGAGGGCCAUGAGGUAGAGGCUGGGGAAAUGAGGGCUUGGAGGUGCUUGAGGUAUGGUCUUUACCUACGUGAAAUGUUGGAGGUUGAGAUGAAAACUCUUGCUUUGAAUUCUUCAUGGAGGACUACAUCAUUUCAAUCCUGAAUCUGGCUCAAUUCUAUUAUUCACUUAUUACUGUAUUAAAAACGUUUAAUUGGCCAGGCACAGUGGUUCACGCCUGUAAUCCCAGCACUUUGGGAGGCCAAGGCAGGCGGAUCACUUGAGGUCAGGAGUUCGACACCAGCCUGGCCAACAUGGCAAAACCCCGCCUCUACUAAAAAUACAAAAAUUAGCCAGGCGUGGUGGCACGCACCUGUAAUCACAGCUACUUAGGAGGCUGAGGUGGCAGAAUUGUUUGAACCCAGGAGGUGGAGGUUGCAGUGAGCCGAGAUCACACCACUGCACUCAAGCCUUGGCAUCAGAGUGAGACUCUGUCUCAGUAAAAAAAAAAUAAAUAAAUAAAAAUGUUUAAUUAACCAUGAUAUUUGCUUUGGUAAAACCUUUGAGGUUUAAUGAGAAUUUUAAAAUUCAUUAUACUUUUCUUAUGGCAUAUAAAAGUUUUAAUUUUUUUUAUUGUCUCAACUAACAUCAUAAAUGUCUUAAUGUUAAAAUCCAUGGGAUAUUCUAUUUAAAAUUUUAGCUU
This 1000-nucleotide long non-coding RNA is filed under the name Homo sapiens (human). Its description in RNAcentral is "HSALNT0389471". The record is from RNAcentral. Lineage: Eukaryota; Metazoa; Chordata; Mammalia; Primates; Hominidae.